AGAGUUUGAUCAUGGCUCAGGAUGAACGCUGGCGGCGUGCUUAAUACAUGCAAGUCGAGCAAGGACCACCCGGUGGCAACACCGGGUGACUCCUAGCGGCGAACGGGUGAGUAACACGUGGGCAACCUGCCCCCGACUCUGGGAUAAGCCCGGGAAACUGGGUCUAAUACCGGAUACGAGCCUCCUCCGCAUGGUGGAGGUUGGAAAGGGUCUCCGGUCGGGGAUGGGCCCGCGGCCUAUCAGCUUGUUGGUGGGGUAACGGCCCACCAAGGCGACGACGGGUAGCCGGCCUGAGAGGGUGAACGGCCACACUGGGACUGAGACACGGCCCAGACUCCUACGGGAGGCAGCAGUAGGGAAUCUUGCGCAAUGGGCGAAAGCCUGACGCAGCGACGCCGCGUGCGGGACGAAGGCCCUCGGGUUGUAAACCGCUUUCAGCAGGGACGAAGCGAAAGUGACGGUACCUGCAGAAGAAGGUCCGGCCAACUACGUGCCAGCAGCGGCGGUAAUUC
This 512-nucleotide ribosomal RNA is filed under the name uncultured bacterium. RNAcentral's name for it is "bacterial SSU rRNA". It matches the Rfam family "Bacterial small subunit ribosomal RNA", at positions 8 to 526 of the family's 1533-position model. The record is from RNAcentral.